AUACGGAGGGGGUUAGCGUUGUUCGGAAUUACUGGGCGUAAAGCGCACGUAGGCGGAUUGGAAAGUAGGGGGUGAAAUCCCAGGGCUCAACCCUGGAACUGCCUCCUAAACUAUCAGUCUAGAGUUCGAGAGAGGUGAGUGGAAUUCCAAGUGUAGAGGUGAAAUUCGGAGAUAUUUGGAGGAACACCAGUGGCGAAGGCGGCUCACUGGCUCGAUACUGACGCUGAGGUGCGAAAGCAUGGGGAGCAAACAGGAUUAGAAACCCUAGUAGUCC
This 274-nucleotide ribosomal RNA is filed under the name uncultured bacterium. RNAcentral describes it as "partial 16S ribosomal RNA". It matches the Rfam family "Bacterial small subunit ribosomal RNA", at positions 523 to 796 of the family's 1533-position model. The record is from RNAcentral.